GCCUUCAUGGCUCAGCUGGUUAGAGCGCAGGUCUCAUAGCAAUAUGAGGUUCGGUCUUCGAAUCGCAAUCCUGAGGUCGUCAGUUCGAUCCUGACUGAGGGCA
Crucibulum laeve is the source of this 103-nucleotide non-coding RNA. The record is from the annotation of a GenBank genome assembly. NCBI's taxonomy places the organism in Eukaryota, Fungi, Basidiomycota, Agaricomycetes, Agaricales, Nidulariaceae.